Molecule: long non-coding RNA, 201 nt
Filed under: Elaeis guineensis (African oil palm)
Lineage: Eukaryota; Viridiplantae; Streptophyta; Magnoliopsida; Arecales; Arecaceae
Description: long non-coding RNA (EGUI_LNC060476)
Source: RNAcentral
GAAAAGGAGCUCAUUGAGUAAAUAUUAAAGAGAAUAGUGUGAGGAACUAAAAGAGAAAUAGGAAAAAAUUUAAGAGUAUCUUAAUUCCAAUCCUUCCUAUAUUAAAUUAGAUUGAAAAAAAGGAAUAGUGAGUGAAUUUUAACUAGCUAUCAUUAUUGAAGGAGCAUUAAAAGCUACCUCAACCUCUCAUGCAUUCAAGGA